Molecule: ribosomal RNA, 253 nt
Filed under: uncultured bacterium
Lineage: Bacteria
Description: partial 16S ribosomal RNA
Rfam family: Bacterial small subunit ribosomal RNA
Source: RNAcentral
UACGUAGGUGGCAAGCGUUGUCCGGAUUUAUUGGGUUUAAAGGGUGCGUAGGCGGUCAUGUAAGUCAGCGGUGAAAUCCGGCAGCUCAACUGUCGAUGUGCCAUUGAUACUGCAUGACUUGAGUACUGAUGAGGUAGGCGGAAUUGACGGUGUAGCGGUGAAAUGCUUAGAUAUCGUCAAGAACACCGAUAGCGAAGGCAGCUUACUAAAGAGUAACUGACGCUGAGGCGCGAAAGUGUGGGGAUCAAACAGG